This 425-nucleotide ribosomal RNA is filed under the name uncultured bacterium. Its description in RNAcentral is "partial 16S ribosomal RNA". It matches the Rfam family "Bacterial small subunit ribosomal RNA", at positions 354 to 796 of the family's 1533-position model. The record is from RNAcentral.
GUGGGGAAUCUUAGACAAUGGGGGAAACCCUGAUCUAGCCAUGCCGCGUGAUCGAUGAAGGCCUUAGGGUUGUAAAGAUCUUUCAGGUGGGAAGAUAAUGACUGUACCACCAGAAGAAGCCCCGGCUAACUCCGUGCCAGCAGCCGCGGUAAUACGGAGGGGGCUAGCGUUGUUCGGAAUUACUGGGCGUCAAGCGCACGUAGGCGGAUUGGAAAGUUGGGGGUGAAAUCCCGGGGCUCAACCCCGGAACUGCCUUCAAAACUCCCAGUCUUGAGUUCGAGAGAGGUGAGUGGAAUUCCGAGUGUAGAGGUGAAAUUCGUAGAUAUUCGGAGGAACACCAGUGGCGAAGGCGGCUCACUGGCUCGAUACUGACGCUGAGGUGCGAAAGCGUGGGGAGCAAACAGGAUUAGAAACCCUGGUAGUCC